This is a long non-coding RNA of Lolium rigidum, 744 nucleotides long. RefSeq lists it as uncharacterized. The transcript has 4 exons. Lineage: Eukaryota; Viridiplantae; Streptophyta; Magnoliopsida; Poales; Poaceae. The record is from RefSeq and is a predicted model, not a curated record.
UAUUGAUUGUUGUUUGUCUUGAUAGCAUUACAGGCAAGUUGUUGACUCUAGUUUGUCAUCAUCCUGGUGUGGUGUACAGUGGCUCCUCCUUUUAGCGGAUGGGUCCAAACACCUCUGUUACUCAUCCGGUGGUCAUUGCUUCCAGCUCCUCGUGCCGCUAGCUGCACCCACUGGUCGUAGAUGACCUGAAGGGAUUCAUACUAGAACCUCUCUGGUGGGGGUGACAACAAUCGGUUGAUGUCCGCCAAGGUCGCCGGCUCUUGGUUGGCAUGGCCCAUCAUUUGCAUCAUGCAUGAGAGAGGUAUCAAUCCAGCGAAGUGGCAUGAAGAUUGGAAUAGGCGUGUGCUCUUCAUGGAUGUUGUUUCUGCAUUGGUAUGAGAGUAGCGAUGAGGAGCUCAUGGUACUACCCCGGCUCACCAAGGUCAUCAUCACUUGUGACAACUGGACAAAGCUGGCCAGCGGGGUGUAGUCAAGAAGGUUGUUGGCCUUCGAGGCUGGUAUUGGCUGGCUAGUUCCUGAAUCUGGUUUCUCACCAGGAAUAUCUAGAAGGCAAGGUAAACAAGACGAAAUUAAGCUACAAUCAAGUUCCAGCUGAAUAAGUUCGUCUUCAUCGAUGUCACUGUGGGCUACCUGUCGAUGGAGAAGCUGACCCAGUAUAACAUGUCAAUGAGUGUCAACUUACUGGUUUCCUUGCUCAAGAACUGGCAAAACGUGAGUCGUCUUCAACUUUCGUUCCCUGAAUUU